GACGAACGCUGGCGGCGUGCUUAACACAUGCAAGUCGAACGGAAAGGCCUCUUUCGGGGGGUACUCGAGUGGCGAACGGGUGAGUAACACGUGAGUAACCUGCCCUUGACUUUGGGAUAACUUCAGGAAACUGGGGCUAAUACCGGAUAGGAGCUCCUGCUGCAUGGUGGGGGUUGGAAAGUUUCGGCGGUUGGGGAUGGACUCGCGGCUUAUCAGCUUGUUGGUGGGGUAGUGGCUUACCAAGGCUUUGACGGGUAGCCGGCCUGAGAGGGUGACCGGCCACAUUGGGACUGAGAUACGGCCCAGACUCCUACGGGAGGCAGCAGUGGGGAAUAUUGCACAAUGGGUGGAGGCCUGAUGCAGCAACGCCGUGUGCGGGAUGACGGCCUUCGGGUUGUAAACCGCUUUCGCUCAUGACGAAGCUUUGUGUGACGGUAGUGGGUAAAGAAGCACCGGCUAACUACGUG
RNAcentral lists this ribosomal RNA (467 nucleotides) under uncultured bacterium. RNAcentral describes it as "partial 16S ribosomal RNA". It matches the Rfam family "Bacterial small subunit ribosomal RNA", at positions 28 to 507 of the family's 1533-position model. The record is from RNAcentral.